This 64-nucleotide transfer RNA is filed under the name Neotoma lepida (desert woodrat). It matches the Rfam family "tRNA". From Rfam's summary of the family: Transfer RNA (tRNA) molecules are approximately 80 nucleotides in length. Their secondary structure includes four short double-helical elements and three loops (D, anti-codon, and T loops). The record is from Rfam by way of RNAcentral. Lineage: Eukaryota; Metazoa; Chordata; Mammalia; Rodentia; Cricetidae.
GGGGAUGUAGCUCAGUUGGUAGAGUGCUUACCUAANAUGCAAAAGGCCCUGUGUUUCAUUCCCA